GACGAACGCUGGCGGCGUGCUUAACACAUGCAAGUCGAACGGACGAGUGAGAUAAGUUUACUUAACUCACAAGUUAGUGGCGGACGGGUGAGUAACACGUGGAUAAUCUACCUGCAACACCGGGAUAACGCUGUGAAAACGGUGCUAAUACCGGAUACGUUCCCUUGUGCGCAUGUAUGAGGGAAGAAAGCUCAGGCGGUUGCAGAUGAGUCCGCGGCUGAUUAGCUAGUUGGUGAGGUAAAGGCUCACCAAGGCGAUGAUCAGUAGCCGGCCUGAGAGGGUGAACGGCCACACUGGGACUGAGACACGGCCCAGACUCCUACGGGAGGCAGCAGUGGGGAAUCUUCCGCAAUGGGCGCAAGCCUGACGGAGCAACGCCGCGUGGGUGAAGAAGGCCUUCGGGUUGUAAAGCCUGUCUUAUGGGAAGAAGUCAGUGACGGUACCAUAGGAGGAAGGCCACGGCGUAACUACGUGCCAGAAGCCGCGGUAAAAAAGACGUAACU
Molecule: ribosomal RNA, 503 nt
Filed under: uncultured bacterium
Lineage: Bacteria
Description: bacterial SSU rRNA
Rfam family: Bacterial small subunit ribosomal RNA
Source: RNAcentral